UUCUUGAGUAUGGAUGAAGCAGGCGGAAUGCGUGGUGUAGCGGUGAAAUGCUUAGAGAUCACGCAGAACUCCGAUUGCGAAGGCAGCUUGCUAAGGCAUAACUGACGCUGAGGCACGAAAGCGUGGGUAUCAAACAGGAUUAGAUACCCUGGUAGUCCACGCAGUAAACGAUGAUUACUAGGUGUUUGCGAUAGACAGUAAGCUCUACAGCGAAAGCGUUAAGUAAUCCACCUGGGGAGUACGCCGGCAACGGUGAAACUCAAAGGAAUUGACGGGGGCCCGCACAAGCGGAGGAACAUGUGGUUUAAUUCGAUGAUACGCGAGGAACCUUACCCGGGAUUGAAA
RNAcentral lists this ribosomal RNA (345 nucleotides) under uncultured Bacteroidales bacterium. RNAcentral's name for it is "bacterial SSU rRNA". It matches the Rfam family "Bacterial small subunit ribosomal RNA", at positions 639 to 986 of the family's 1533-position model. The record is from RNAcentral. Lineage: Bacteria; Pseudomonadati; Bacteroidota; Bacteroidia; Bacteroidales.